This 349-nucleotide long non-coding RNA is filed under the name Homo sapiens (human). RNAcentral's name for it is "non-protein coding lnc-ACBD5-1:1". Lineage: Eukaryota; Metazoa; Chordata; Mammalia; Primates; Hominidae. The record is from RNAcentral.
GCGAACACCACGUUGGGAGCGGGAGGCCGAGCUGCAAGGGCGAAGGAGAAAGAUGGGCUCGCGGAAGGAGAGACAGGGAAACAGCGGGUUUUUUGGAGGGUCGGGUGUGUCCAGAAUUGCUGGGUUCUUGGCCUCGCUGACUUGAAGAAUGAAGCCGCAGACCCUGGCGGUGAGUGUUAACAGUUCUUAAAGAUGGUGCGUCUGGAGUUUGUUCCUUUAGAUGUUCAGACGUGUCUGGAGUUUCUUCCUUCCGGUGGGUUUGUGGUCUUGCUGGCCUCAGGAACGAAGCUGCAGACCUUCAUGAUGAGUGUUACAGUUCAUAAAAACGGUGCGCGUCUGGAGUUGUUUG